UACGAAGGGGGCUAGCGUUGCUCGGAAUCACUGGGCGUAAAGCGCACGUAGGCGGGUCGUUAAGUCAGGGGUGAAAUCCUGGAGCUCAACUCCAGAACUGCCCUUGAUACUGGCGAUCUCGAGUUCGGGAGAGGUGAGUGGAACUGCGAGUGUAGGGGUGAAAUUCGUAGAUAUUCGCAAGAACACCAGUGGCGAAGGCGGCUCACUGGCCCGAUACUGACGCUGAGGUGCGAAAGCGUGGGGAGCAAACAGG
This 253-nucleotide ribosomal RNA is filed under the name uncultured bacterium. RNAcentral describes it as "partial 16S ribosomal RNA". It matches the Rfam family "Bacterial small subunit ribosomal RNA", at positions 524 to 776 of the family's 1533-position model. The record is from RNAcentral.